GCUGUGGUGCAGGUGGCCGAAGGGGGCGUUACUGUUGCGACUGGCAUCCGCAUCCGGCAGAUGUAGAUGGAACCAAAGUCCAGAAGUUACGCGUCACCCUUGCUCUACAGCCAAACAUGCAGGACUCUAGUAACCCGCGAAAUGAUGGGAUAGCGUUGCAAAUCCUUAAAAGAGUCUUAACGGAGAAGGGAAAAUGUUACAUUGUCAAAGUCCCAAAGCCUUUCAGCCUGAAGCCAGGAACAAUUGUUCAAAGUUUCUUUGGAACAUCAAGGAAGGAAAUCCAGAUUUUACUUUAAGUGCAAUGGGGAGUCAUUAAGGAUUUUGUGUAGAUACAGCAAAAAGACAACAAUCUUCAAGCCACAAUGGCCCUCACCAGAACCCAGCCAUGUGGUCAGCCUGAUCUCGGACUUCACAGCCAGCAGAACUGUUUGUCAAAGAUCAGAUGGUUUCCUUAAGCUGAUAAGCAACUUCAACAAAGUCUCAGGAUACAAAAUCAAUGUGCAAAAAUCAUAAGCAUUCUUAUACACCAAUAACAGACAAACAGCCAAAUCAUGAGUGAACUUCCAUUCAUAAUUGCACAAAGAGAAUCAAAUACCUAGGAAUCCAGCUUACAAGGGAUGUGAAGGACCUCUUCAAGGAGAACUACAAACCACUGCUCAAUGAAAUAAAAGGGGACACAAACAAAUGGAAGAACAUUCCAUGCUCAUGGUUAGGAAGAAUCAAUAUCGUGAAAAUGGCCAUACUGCCCAAGAUAAUUUAUAGAUUCAAUGCCAUCCCCAUCAAGCUACCAAUGACUUUCUUCACAGAAUUGGAAGAAACUACGUUAAAGUUCAUAUGGAACCAGAAAAGAGCCUGCACUGCCAAGACAACCCUAAGCAAAAAGAACAAAGCUGGAGGCAUCAUGCCACCUGACUUCAAACUAUACUACAAGGCUACAGUAACCAAAGCAGCAUGGUACUGGUACCAAAACAGAGAUAUAGACCAACGGAACAGAACAGAGGCCUCAGAAAUAACACCACGCAUCUACAGUCUAUGGUAUUUUACUAUGGAAGCCCACCCUAAGAUUUCAAUUUAGCUUCCAUGUAGUUCCCUGGUGCUUGGCAAUCUCCUGACUCACUACCUUGUCACAUGGUCUAUCCCAAGUCAGUCCUUCUCCUCUUCCCAUAUCCCCCUACUCCAAUAUUCACCCAUAUGUGGCCAAGUCUUCCUCCACCUGAGCUCCUUGCAGAGGAAUGAACAAUUGUUUGAACAUUAAUGAAUAUUAAACUCUUGGGUUGAUAGCUUAUGGCAGUGAUAGUCAAGUGUAUCACGCCGUGAAGUCAACUGUUUGAAAAUUAACCUGAGAAGUAAUGGCAAGCCCUCCUGCUAUCACCCCCCUUGAGCCCACCUGUCCUACAGAGGUGUCCAUGCCAGCUGACUCCACCAAGACUGACCCUCUGCCAUCCUCUCCUGAGUGCUGAGUAAGAAGGAAUUCAGCUUUAGUACGACUAUCCCAGAGAGACUACUAAACAAGUUCACUACAGUGCACGAAAAUCCAGCUUUGGAGAAACUUCUGACCAGCAAGUCAGAAGUUUCAAAGAAAACUUCUUUGGUUUCAAAGAAAAAUCUAGGAAAAGAUACUGAGGAGUCUGUGAAUAGAUGGAGUGGAGUGAGCUAGUAGAUGGUGAAGGCGCUGCUCACGAAAGAAACAGAGGUGGUGCCCAGGUCUUCAGAAUCUGAGUGACGACACUGGACACAAACUACUCACUGACUGGGGAGCAGCUGAGAAGCCUAGCAAAUCCUGGCUUAUCCCCCGAGAAUGUUCCAGCAGAGGAAAAGAAGUGCAGAAAGGAAGAACUGGGAAGUGAUGUUGGCCCAGGCAGAUUCUAACCCUCUAAGUUCCACAGUCUACAAGCAAGAGUGCAUUAAGGCCCACAUAGACUGCAUUCUCUGUGAUUCCAGUGAUAACUUAAGGAAAGCUUCCUGCUGACUCAAAAGGAUUUUUCUUCUUCUGAACUCCUAUUAUGGGAAUGGAUGAAAUCACUUACAGAGCCACAGAAGGAAACAAAGCAAAGCCAGGAUCAUGAGUUGGAUUAUCUGGAGGCCUAGGCCAAUGGGGAGUUAUUGCUUGCAGUCACUGAUCAAGCAAAUAAACUUUUCCUUCUUUCUUAUGAAAUUUAUUUAAGAAGCUGAAAUUACUUAAAUGAUAAUGAGUUGUGAGAAAAGAAUUGUAGUAGAUAUUUGUUCUCUAUCCAAAUUGCACUGAGUGGGGAGGUGUACCCAUACCCCAGCUUCGAGAAUUGACUGAUAACAGUUCACACCUGCACUUCUCCAGAGAAUUGUCCUUGUCUGACCUGAGCACCUUGUUUAGUAAUGUCUGGUAGGCUAUGCUCCACCUUCCCUGGGCAGAUCCACUGGUCUAAGACAAACAACCCAACCCUCUAAUUUCUGGGAAGAAUCACCUCCGUGAUUAAUCUAAGCUCCAGAUCUCCCAGAGAAAUCAUGCUGAGGCUACAUUUGUGAAACUACAUUUUUAUCUAGCUUCUUCCUUUGCCCUUUCCUGCUGUCCUCACUUCCUUAUGAAUUUUUUUCUGAAAGAUCUUGAUUAAUAAAUUAUUUAAUCAAGAUCCCCCAGUCAUAAGUUCUGUGUUUUGGAAUAUA
Long non-coding RNA from Homo sapiens (human), 2640 nucleotides. Ensembl annotates it as UBA6 divergent transcript. Its record names the gene UBA6-DT. The record is from Ensembl. NCBI's taxonomy places the organism in Eukaryota, Metazoa, Chordata, Mammalia, Primates, Hominidae.